RNAcentral lists this ribosomal RNA (841 nucleotides) under uncultured bacterium. RNAcentral describes it as "bacterial SSU rRNA". It matches the Rfam family "Bacterial small subunit ribosomal RNA", at positions 547 to 1386 of the family's 1533-position model. The record is from RNAcentral.
GNAAUUAUUGGGCGUAAAGCGCGCGCAGGCGGAUAGGUCAGUCUNUCUUAAAAGUUCGGGGCUUAACCCCGUGAUGGGAUGGAAACUGCCAAUCUAGAGUAUCGGAGAGGAAAGUGGAAUUCCUAGUGUAGCGGUGAAAUGCGUAGAUAUUAGGAAGAACACCAGUGGCGAAGGCGACUUUCUGGACGAAAACUGACGCUGAGGCGCGAAAGCCAGGGGAGCGAACGGGAUUAGAUACCCCGGUAGUCCUGGCCGUAAACGAUGGGUACUAGGUGUAGGAGGUAUCGACCCCUUCUGUGCCGGAGUUAACGCAAUAAGUACCCCGCCUGGGGAGUACGACCGCAAGGUUGAAACUCAAAGGAAUUGACGGGGGCCCGCACAAGCGGUGGAGUAUGUGGUUUAAUUCGACGCAACGCGAAGAACCUUACCAGGUCUUGACAUUGAUGGACAGAACUAGAGAUAGUUCCUCUUCUUCGGAAGCCAGAAAACAGGUGGUGCACGGUUGUCGUCAGCUCGUGUCGUGAGAUGUUGGGUUAAGUCCCGCGACGAGCGCAACCCCUAUCUUAUGUUGCCAGCACGUAAAGGUGGGAACUCAUGAGAGACUGCCGCAGACAAUGCGGAGGAAGGCGGGGAUGACGUCAAAUCAUCAUGCCCCUUAUGACCUGGGCUACACACGUACUACACUGGGAGUUAAUAGACGGAAGCGAGAUCGCGAGAUGGAGCAAACCCGAGAAACACUCUCUCAGUUCGGAUCGUAGGCUGCAACUCGCCUACGUGAAGUCGGAAUCGCUAGUAAUCGCAGGUCAGCAUACUGCGGUGAAUACGUUCCCGGGCCUUGUAC